GGUUCCAUGGUGUAAUGGUCAGCAAUCUGGACUUUGAAAAUCCAGUGAUCCGAGUUCAAAUCUCGGUGGAACCU
Molecule: non-coding RNA, 74 nt
Organism: Notothenia coriiceps (black rockcod)
Lineage: Eukaryota; Metazoa; Chordata; Actinopteri; Perciformes; Nototheniidae
Source: the annotation of a RefSeq genome assembly